Molecule: ribosomal RNA, 440 nt
Filed under: uncultured bacterium
Lineage: Bacteria
Description: partial 16S ribosomal RNA
Rfam family: Bacterial small subunit ribosomal RNA
Source: RNAcentral
CCUACGGGAGGCAGCAGUGGGGAAUAUUGCACAAUGGGGGAAACCCUGAUGCAGCGACGCCGCGUGAGUGAAGAAGGAAUUCGGUAUGUAAAGCUCUAUCAGCAGGGAAGAAAAUGACGGUACCUGAGUAAGAAGCCCCGGCUAACUACGUGCCAGCAGCCGCGGUAAUACGUAGGGGGCAAGCGUUAUCCGGAUUUACUGGGUGUAAAGGGAGCGUAGACGGCAGUGCAAGUCUGGAGUGAAAGGCGGGGGCUCAACCCCCGGACUGCUCUUGAAACUGUACGGCUGGAGUGCAGGAGAGGUAAGUGGAAUUCCUAGUGUAGCGGUGAACUCCUUAGAUAUUAGGAGGAACACCAGUGGCGAAGGCGGCUUACUGGACUGUACCUGACGUUGAGGCUCGAACGCGUGGGGAGCAAACAGGAUUAGAUACCCUUGUAGUC